AUUGAACGCUGGCGGCAGGCCUAACACAUGCAAGUCGAACGGUAACAGGAAACAGCUUGCUGUUUCGCUGACGAGUGGCGGACGGGUGAGUAAUGUCUGGGAAACUGCCUGAUGGAGGGGGAUAACUACUGGAAACGGUAGCUAAUACCGCAUAACGUCGCAAGACCAAAGAGGGGGACCUUCGGGCCUCUUGCCAUCGGAUGUGCCCAGAUGGGAUUAGCUAGUAGGUGGGGUAACGGCUCACCUAGGCGACGAUCCCUAGCUGGUCUGAGAGGAUGACCAGCCACACUGGAACUGAGUCACGGUCCAGACUCCUACGGGAGGCAGCAGUGGGGAAUAUUGCACAAUGGGCGCAAGCCUGAUGCAGCCAUGCCGCGUGUAUGAAGAAGGCCUUCGGGUUGUAAAGUACUUUCAGCGGGGAGGAAGGGAGUAAAGUUAAUACCUUUACUCAUUGACGUUACCCGCAGAAGAAGCACCGGCUAACUCCGUG
RNAcentral lists this ribosomal RNA (490 nucleotides) under uncultured bacterium. RNAcentral's name for it is "partial 16S ribosomal RNA". It matches the Rfam family "Bacterial small subunit ribosomal RNA", at positions 30 to 507 of the family's 1533-position model. The record is from RNAcentral.